Molecule: ribosomal RNA, 465 nt
Filed under: uncultured bacterium
Lineage: Bacteria
Description: partial 16S ribosomal RNA
Rfam family: Bacterial small subunit ribosomal RNA
Source: RNAcentral
CUACGGGAUGCUGCAGUGGGGAAUAUUGGACAAUGGGGGAAACCCUGAUCCAGCAAUGCCGCGUGUGUGAAGAAGGCCUGCGGGUUGUAAAGCACUUUCGGUUGGGAGGACUGCUUCUAGCACUAAUAUUGUUGGAAGUUGACGUUACCUUCAGAAGAAGCACCGGGUAACUCCGUGCCAGCAGCCGCGGGAAUACGGAGGGUGCAAGCGUUAAUCGGAAUUACUGGGCGUAAAGCGCGCGUAGGCGGCUAGAUCAGUCGGGUGUGAAAGCCCCGGGCUUAACCUGGGAACUGCAUCCGAUACUGUCUAGCUUGAGUACAGGAGAGGAGAGUGGAAUUCUACAUGUAGCGGUGAAAUGCGUAGAUAUGUGGAGGAACACCAAUGGCGAAGGCAGCUCUCUGGCCUGAUACUGACGCUGAGGUGCGAAAGCGUGGGGAGCAAACAGGAUUAGAUACCCUAGUAGUC